AGAGUUUGAUCCUGGCUCAGGACGAACGCUGGCGGCGUGCUUAAUACAUGCAAGUCGAACGAGGUCCAUCCGAUCUUCGGAUUGGUGAAGACCUAGUGGCGAACGGGUGCGUAACACGUGAGAAACCUGCCCCGGUCUCUGGAAUAACAGUUGGAAACGACUGCUAAUACCGGAUGCCGUCGGACCAUCGCAUGGUGGACCGACGAAAGGGUUACCGGACCGGGAGGGUCUCGCGGCCUAUCAGCUUGUUGGUGAGGUAACGGCUCACCAAGGCAUCGACGGGUAGCUGGUCUGAGAGGAUGAUCAGCCACACUGGGACUGAGACACGGCCCAGACUCCUACGGGAGGCAGCAGUAGGGAAUAUUGCACAAUGGGCGAAAGCCUGAUGCAGCAACGCCGCGUGCGGGAAGAAGGCCCUAGGGUUGUAAACCGCUUUCAGCAGGGAAGAAAAUGACGGUACCUGCAGAAGAAGGUGCGGCCAACUACGUGCCAGCAGCCGCGGUGACACGUAGGCACCAAGCGUUGUCCGGAUUUAUUGGGCGUAAAGAGCUCGUAGGCGGUUCAGUAAGUCGGGUGUGAAAACUCUGGGCUCAACCCAGAGACGCCACUCGAUACUGCUGUGACUAGAGUGCGGUAGGGGAGCGGGGAAUUCCUAGUGUAGCGGUGAAAUGCGCAGAUAUUAGGAGGAACACCAGUGGCGAAGGCGCCGCUCUGGGCCGUAACUGACGCUGAGGAGCGAAAGCGUGGGUAGCAAACAGGAUUAGAUACCCUGGUAGUCCACGCCGUAAACGUUGGGCACUAGGUGUGGGUCUCAACCAACGAGAUCCGCGCCGUCGCUAACGCAUUAAGUGCCCCGCCUGGGGAGUACGGCCGCAAGGCUAAAACUCAAAGGAAUUGACGG
This 901-nucleotide ribosomal RNA is filed under the name uncultured marine bacterium. RNAcentral describes it as "bacterial SSU rRNA". It matches the Rfam family "Bacterial small subunit ribosomal RNA", at positions 8 to 916 of the family's 1533-position model. The record is from RNAcentral.